GCAGCAGAAUUGAGCCGCUUUCAAUCUUUCGCAAUCAUUUUACGCGUCGCGUUCACAGCCGCCAGACCGUAUAUGGGAAGCCGGAAACUGAGCACGCGACACAUGAACACGCAGCUUUUUCAUGAGUUUGAAUGAUCAAAAAUGUCCUAAAACGAAUAUCAGCUCAAGAAGGCGAUGGAUGCAAGAGGACACGAACAAAGCCUUUCAUAGCUGGAAAGAGCAAACAACUGCAAACGCUUGAAAAGAGACGCCGAAGUUGCGUUGUUUCUUUUUGAUAGUGAUCCUGACAUAAACCAAGACGUCUCCUCCACUGAUGAUAAACAAUGGUAAUGGAUCCAGCACAUGGUUUUGGACACACUCCUGCGUCCCUUCAUCACAGAUUGAGCGAUGAACCCCUGACUCAGUGUACAGAAAAAAUAUUCUGGAUGGCUAUGCUGGAUCCAAACUGCGGAUGAGCUGGGACGUCUCCUGAGAAGCCAUGUUAAUGCCAUGCUGGUUGUGGAUCUGUAUUUCACAUUAACAAUACUAGCACCCAGCUGCUUUAUGGAACCUGUAAACGUGGCUGACUCUUCAGUGCCUACACCAGUGCAGCGCAUAUACAAGUGAAAGGAUGAAUAUUACUUCAAAAUGAUAGACAUGACAGUCUUGGAAACAAAAGCAAUAUGGAUGGAAACUAAAACAUACUCUUUCCCCCCAUCAUCUGGUCACAUGGAGCUGGAAAUCUCUUCAUUGACUAUUUCAGCGAUGAUGGACAUUGCCAAGGAGAGGUCACUGGCUUAUGCAAUACACAGAGAAAGGAUCAUUGUCUUACUGUAUUUGUGUUUUAUUGAUGUCUGUUUUAAUGUCAAGGAAUAUUAUACAUUUGGAUGGGUUUUUUGGCCACCCUUCAACAUUUCACUUUAGCACUUAUAAAGCUUUAAAUUGGCUUAAAAAAAAAGAUUUAAGACUAUCUGACUCAAAUCUGUUUAGUUGUUUACAGUCUGAAAAGCAAAAUUACACAUGGAAUCCGUUUUUCUGUGGUUUAAAAUCUAAUUUUGGAAGCGUGAUUCAGUCUGAACAAUCAGAUCUCGAUUUCAAGUAGUUUUCUCAUUGUUUGCGGUGCAGCAUGUCAGUUUUCAUUAAUAUUUGUACAGUUUGUGUCACAAGUCAUACAGAAACGUGCAGGAAUGCUUACAGUAAUUUUUGCAUUUGCAUUUUCACACAAAUGCUUCAUUUAAACCUUUGAGUCACCAUGUUUGCUAAAUGCUGUUAAUGGUCCUAAUGGUUUUAAAUUUAAUAAGAUUGCAAUGGAAAUGAAGUACAUUUAAAUUAAAAUAAAUAUAACUAAAAUAAAUAUUAAUGAAAAUUAUAUAUAUAUAUAUAUAUAUAUAUAUAUAUAUAUAUAUAUAUAUAUAUAUAUAUAUAUAAUGCAAGUAGGUUUAUUAUUUAAAAUGUGCAGUAAUCUGGAGUCAUACUUCACUUAUCUCCUUAUAGGUUCUAUGUUAAGGUAUCCA
Long non-coding RNA from Carassius gibelio (silver crucian carp), 1493 nucleotides. RefSeq lists it as uncharacterized. NCBI's taxonomy places the organism in Eukaryota, Metazoa, Chordata, Actinopteri, Cypriniformes, Cyprinidae. The record is from RefSeq and is a predicted model, not a curated record. The transcript is spliced from 7 exons.